RNAcentral lists this ribosomal RNA (396 nucleotides) under uncultured bacterium. RNAcentral's name for it is "bacterial SSU rRNA". It matches the Rfam family "Bacterial small subunit ribosomal RNA", at positions 28 to 417 of the family's 1533-position model. The record is from RNAcentral.
GACGAACGCUGGCGGCGUGCUUAAUACAUGCAAGUCGAGGGACGAAACCGGCAUGGGCAACCAUGCCGGCUGAAACCGGCGAACGGGUGAGUAACACGUGGGCAACGUGCCCCAGACUCAGGAAUAACAACGGGAAACCGUUGCUAAUGCCAGAUAACCCCUGCGUACCGCAUGGCGUGCAGGGCAAAGCUCCGGCGGUCUGGGAUCGGCCCGCGUCCUAUCAGCUUGUUGGUGGGGAACGGCCUACCAAGGCGAUGACGGGUAGCUGGCGUGAGAGCGUGGCCAGCCACACUGGGACUGAGACACGGCCCAGACUCCUACGGGAGGCAGCAGUGGGGAAUCUUGCGCAAUGGGCGAAAGCCUGACGCAGCGACGCCGCGUGAGGGAUGACGGCCU